RNAcentral lists this ribosomal RNA (207 nucleotides) under uncultured bacterium. Its description in RNAcentral is "partial 16S ribosomal RNA". It matches the Rfam family "Bacterial small subunit ribosomal RNA", at positions 568 to 774 of the family's 1533-position model. The record is from RNAcentral.
CGCGUAGGCGGGCCCGCAAGUCGAUCGUGAAAUCCUUCGGCUCAACUGAAGGGGGUCGGUCGAUACUGCGGGUCUUGAGGGAUGCAGAGGAGACUGGAAUUCCCGGUGUAGCGGUGAAAUGUGCAGAGAUCGGGAGGAACACCGGUGGCGAAGGCGGGUCUCUGGGCAUCUCCUGACGCUGAGGCGCGAAAGCGUGGGGAGCAAACG